RNAcentral lists this long non-coding RNA (1918 nucleotides) under Homo sapiens (human). Its description in RNAcentral is "HSALNT0003691". Lineage: Eukaryota; Metazoa; Chordata; Mammalia; Primates; Hominidae. The record is from RNAcentral.
CUCCCAGGUGGUGCCCAGUUGUUGCUCCUCAAGCUGGGAAAAGAUGACCUUGGCUGCAGAUCUGAGGGGCUGCGAAGCCCAGGGCGUCCAGUUCCCGAGGUGCCCUUCCGCCCAGAGCCGCCCUCUCCCCAGACCCCAGUGAGGGUCAGCCCUCUCCCAGGCCUGCCCUGAUCGCUGCCCAGGGAAGCGCCCGCCCUGCCGCAGCCGCCCAGUCUGAUUCCUGGCAUCCACGUGGCAGGGCGCCCGCUGCAGCGACAGCAGUUCCCACGGGAGGAGUCGCACCGGGAAUGGGCCGCGGGGGAGGGAGAGAGUGGGAGGGAGUGAGGCCCCGGGAAUUGUCCUCUGAAGGGGCGGCGCAUGGGCGUCCCCCGCCCUGCUAGCCCCAUCUCCUUCCCUGUCCCUGCUUGGGCAGGAGGCCCAAGCCCUGACAACAGAGGUGAGAGAGGCUGUGCCAGCCCUUCUCUGGGCAUGUCUGGGCUCAAGGGCCAGGCUCUGUCUCCAGUCUAGGGCCAAGCUGGGGCCUGUGGCAGGAUCAGAUAGAGGCUACCCACAUGACGCCACUACACGUGAAGUUGUGAAGAGAUGUGCAGAAUUGGCUCCAGCACCCCCCGUACCUGUUCCAGGACAGUCCCGUUGCCUUCCACGGGGCCCAGAAAGGGGCUGGGGUCCUGCUGGCUUGCCAAGUUAGGGUACCCUUGAGGACUUCCUGUCCUGCCCUUGUGCCUGUUGGUGUGACUGUGAUUAUGAUUGUGGCUAUAGUUGACAUUGUGAUUGUGAUGGUUGAAGCUUCAGUUACUGGUGUGUUUUCAGUGACGGGGAGAAGAGGCCAGUGAAGUAAAUGCCUCUGUCACUCAAGGGACACGGCCAGGUGCCCAGGGGUAUGAGGGCCAAUUAGGGCCCAGGGUCCUCAGGGCUGUGUUGUGGCUCUAUGCAGGAAACUGGAAACCUGAUGUGACCUAAUGAACACAUCUCCUGCCACUCUCCCCUUCCUCCACUGUGCAGUGAUGACCUGGCCUCAUGCUGCAUUGAGGAGACAGGAGCCCAGCUGUGGGACGCGCUCACCUUUCCAUGGUGUAAUCUGUAUUCCUACCUGCACCGUGCCCUUCUUCUUCUCCUUCCUGACUCACAUCUGAGGUUGGGUCCCUCCUCUUAUCAAAGGACAGUCUUUUUUUUUUUUUUUUUUUUUUUGAGACGGAGUCUUGCUCUCUAGCUCAGACCGGAGUGCAGUGACGCGAUCUCAGCUCACUGCAACUUCUGCCUCCCAAGUUCGAGCAAUUCUCCUGCCUCAGCCUUCUGAGUAGCUGGGAUUACAGGUGUGCACCACCACGCCCAGCUAAUCUUUUUGUAUUUUUAGUAAAGAUGGGGUUUCACCAUGUUGGCCAGGCUAGUCUCGAACUCCUGACCUCAAGUGAUCCUCCCGCCUCUGCCUCCCAAAGUGCUGGGAUUACAGGCGUGAGCUACCACGCCAGGCCUAAAGGACAGUCCUUAGUGACUUCCCAUUGGCUGGAAUAAAAUGCUGAUUCUUUACGGGAUGACUUUAGCCUCAUCUCCCCCUUCCACCCCCGGCUCCUUGUGUUUCAGCUUCGAUUGGCCCCUUUUCUGUUCUACAAGCACAACAAGCUUGUUCCUACCUCAGGGACUUGGAGCCCACAGUUGCCUCCCAGUCUCUGCGUGUCUGGUUACUCAUCGUCCCAGUCUUGGCCCAAAGAGCCCUUCCCUGACCUUUCCCUCUAAAGGGGGCUCCCCAGUUACUCUCCAUGUUUUCACCUUUGUUGUGGUCAGCCCAGCACUGAUGGGUCACCUUGUUUACUGCAGUGUGACUUGUUUCAGGGUCUUCCCCACUAGAGUGUAAGCUCCAUGAGGGCAGCGUGCUCAUUGUCUGUGGUACCUGGAAUCUGGCUGGUACCAGAUAAAUGCA